GCAGGUGAAGGGUCUCUGUGCAUGCAGCAUCUCGGGGAACGCAACGCUAUCGGUGCCAACUGCCAGCCCUGCAGGGGGAGGCUGCCGCUGCGCCGGCAGGGAAUUUGGAGAGCUUUCCAGAUCUCUCCCCCAUAAGCUGUUUGUAGAAAGCCAUCUGCCCGCCCCGGGUACUGAGCUGGGGUCCGGCACAGGCGUGCCGGAGCUGGAAAGGCACAGCAAUGGGCGACGUCCCUCUUCUCUUAAUAUUAAACCCACGUCCUGCCCGUGGCUGCCCGCACUGCUCAGCUCCUGACAAAAGGAUGAAAAGAUGGGCAGCCUCAUGCUUUCCGGACGAGCCAGCAGCUGCGGAGGUGUUGGUGGUCAGUGCCGGGAGCACAGGGGCUGCGUGACCAAGCACCUCAUUUAUCAACCCCCCCCCCGCCCCCUGCACACCCAGCAGCCCCAGCUCCUUAUCUCUCUUCCCAGCACUGGCGUGGUCCGUGACAAAGGCUGGAGCAGAAGAAAUUGGUCUCUGUGUCAUCUCUGCAGCCCUCUUCUCAGCUGGUGCCAGAACCUGGAACAGGAGUAGCUGUUGGAUUUCUCGUUCCCUCCCUGGUCCAGGAGCCUGUGCAAGACUGUUUCCAUCACGAUCAUCAGAUACCGGCGCUCUGUAAUGUAUCAGGAAGAAAAGUUCAAGUUUGUUCACUGAGUGGAAGUUCUUGUGAAAUGUAGAGUCAGAAACAUGGGAGCGACCUUAUUGAAGCGGACCAUUUAGUUUCAGUCUAAACACCAGAGCGGGGAGAAAAUGGCAAGCAGAAAUACCAAAUCAUACGGCAGGAGCCAUUGCGUGAAUCGAGAGGGAGGAGCAGUCCCAGUUGCCGAGGCUCAGCACCCCAUGGCAGAGGGAGCACUCGACAGAUCGAGAGGUUUAG
Harpia harpyja (harpy eagle) is the source of this 911-nucleotide long non-coding RNA. RefSeq lists it as uncharacterized. The record is from RefSeq and is a predicted model, not a curated record. The transcript is spliced from 4 exons. Lineage: Eukaryota; Metazoa; Chordata; Aves; Accipitriformes; Accipitridae.